Molecule: long non-coding RNA, 267 nt
Filed under: Trifolium pratense (red clover)
Lineage: Eukaryota; Viridiplantae; Streptophyta; Magnoliopsida; Fabales; Fabaceae
Description: long non-coding RNA (TPRA_LNC000367)
Source: RNAcentral
UUGCGGGAGAGUCCCAUAGAUAUAUGAGAGAGAUUUGAAGAAUAUGUUAUGAUUUUCCCGGGAAAAUGUUGUGUGUGUGUGUUUUCAGGGACGAUGUGAUUUGUUGUUGUAGAGUGGAAUGAAAACGAGUGAAGAAGAAAGUGUUGGCAUUGUUGUUAAUGAAUGAAAUGAAUUAAUUGAUUUCGUAGUUGGAAGAUUUGGUUUUGUUUUGUCUUUCUUUUCAAUACUCCCUCAUUUUUGUCAACCGGAUUCUCUCUCUCUCUUACA